Pieris brassicae (large cabbage white) is the source of this 6604-nucleotide RNA transcript. It is a transcript of the gene named kinesin-like protein KIF21A, with no coding region annotated. The transcript has 30 exons. The record is from RefSeq and is a predicted model, not a curated record. NCBI's taxonomy places the organism in Eukaryota, Metazoa, Arthropoda, Insecta, Lepidoptera, Pieridae.
AGUCGGCUGGUAGUUGUAGAUAUUACUGUGCGUUAUUAAUUUUUAUAACUUCGAAAUAUUAUUGUCGCAUAAAAGAUAAAUCUGUGUUUCUCAAAUAUACAUGUAAAAUCGCCGUACAGAGUUAUUAGCAUACCCUACUUGCUAAAAUUGCUGUAACGCAAAGUUUUGGAAAUCCUCACAAUGCCGCAUUGUUUUUAAUUUUGUUCAAAUGUUGAAAGAUGGACGUAGUUCUCGUUUUGUGUCUAUUUAGCGUGUCGCUUCAUAACGGAUAUGAGAGAAAAGCUUUCUAGUUCCGGAGCAAUAAUAUUUUUAUCACUUGCUUGAAUCCAUAUGAAAACAUGGCUAGUGAUGAAUCCAGUGUUCGAGUGGCUGUGAGAAUCAGACCACAGACGCCAGCCGAGGUUCUAGAAGGAUGUGGCAUCUGUGCGAGAGCAGGAGACGCUGCGGGGGAAGGUGGAAUCGCUCUUGGCUCAGAGAGGGCUUUCACCUUCGACUAUGCCUUCGAACCUUUGGUGGGCCAGCAGGAGAUUUAUGACACAUGUGUCAGAAAGCUCGUGGAAUCGGCCCUCGAUGGAUACAACGCAACUGUGCUUGCAUAUGGACAGACUGGCUCCGGAAAGACAUACACAAUGGGAAGUGGCUGGGAGGGGGAGGGUGACCUUGACGAGGACAAAAGAGGCAUCAUUCCUCGAGCAAUCCGUGACCUGUUCACUGGGGCUGAAGAGAGGGCAGAAGCUGCCCGCGCGCAGGGUCAACUUCCGCCCGAGUUCUCGGUCCAAGCGCAGUUCAUUGAGCUUUACAAUGAAGACAUUGUGGACUUAUUAGACCCCGCGAAGGAUCCUUAUGCAAAGGGUAAUUUAAAAAUAACAGAAGAUGGUUGCGGUGGAGUAAGGAUAAUAGGAGCAUCCAUUCGAGCUGUCAGAGGCGCCAAGGAAGCCCUAGGAGCACUCCGAGCCGGCGCGUUAGCCCGGACCACAGCAGCAACGAACAUGAACUCGUCAUCAUCAAGAUCUCAUGCGGUCUUCACACUUCUCCUAAGACAGAGAAGACUGGCAGAUCACGAAGGUGUGAAAGAGAUGGAGACAGAUGGCGAUGCUCCCGAGCAGUAUGAGACGUUGACCGCUAAGUUCCAUUUCGUGGAUCUGGCUGGUUCAGAACGACUGAAAAGGACAGGAGCUACAGGAGAACGGGCCCGUGAAGGUAUAUCAAUAAACUGUGGUCUUCUGGCGUUAGGGAACGUCAUAUCAGCAUUGGGAGAUAAAUCCCGCAAAGUGAUGCAUGUACCAUAUCGGGACUCUAAACUGACGAGGCUUCUGCAGGAUUCUCUUGGAGGUAACAGCAACACUGUUAUGAUAGCGUGCGUUUCGCCCAGCGACCGCGACUUUAUGGAGACGUUGAAUACGUUAAAAUACGCGAACAGAGCCAGGAACAUAAAGAACAGAUGUGUGGUCAACCAGGACCUGACUUCGAGGACCAUACACCAACUUCGACAAGAAGUUGCCAGGCUGCAAUUGGAGCUGACUGAAUAUAAACAGGGCAAACGAAUCAUAUCAGAAAACGGUGAGGAAGGCUGGAGUGACGUGGUUCAAGAGAAUGCCAUUUUGCAUAACGAAAUCGAAUCUCUACGACGAAGACUGCAUGCCCUGCAGGGGACAGUAGACAAGCUGUCUGCUCGAAACAGUGAAUUGCUGGCUGAAAAGGCCUUAGGUGCUUGGGUACCGAAAGAGGGUAACCCUGACGCAUCUGAGUGCAAUCUUACGGCGUUAGUACAGGGUUACGUGUCAGAGAUAGAAGAUCUUCGGGCUCAGUUGAUGGAAUCAAAUGCCUUGUACGAAGCAAGCAGGCGACGCGAAGCAAGGACUAGACACGAUUCUUCUGUUCUCGAUACUUCUACCAUCAUUGACGAUGCGAAACGAGAACUCUAUAAGGAGAAAGAGUUGUUAGCACGCAGUAUGGGUGAACUAGAAUUUCAACGUAAACUAACAGAAGUGCCCGAGCCUUUUGGGGAGAGGGAACGAGCUGAAGGCGAAAGUGCUGGUGAUUCUGAACCCUCGGAAGAAGACGAGAGUGAUUCUGAAGAGGACAAUGAGAUUAAAGGGCAACAACUCCUAACGGCUCAACUGGCGGCCUUAAGUGAAGAUAUCGACACUAAGGCUCGUUUAGUGGACCAAUUAGAGGCAUCCCAAAGGAGAUUGGCCGCGCUGCGUACACAUUACGAACAAAGACUGGACCAUUUGCAUCAGCAGAUCAAGGCUACCGGAGAGGAGAGGGAUAAAGUCCUUGCGUCUUUGGCCUCUCAAUCAUCCCAGCCCAGUGAUAAACUCAAGCGUGUGAAAGAAGAAUACGAAAGACGAGUCUCCAGCAUGUCCCGAGAGUUGAGGCGACUUCAAGCAGCUCAAAGGGAACACGCCAGACUUCAGAAGUCCCAACAGCACACCGCACACCAGAUUCACUCUCUACGGAACGAGCUGCAGAAUUUGAAGCGGGAUAAGGUGAAAUUAGUACAAAGGAUGAGGAUGGAAUCAAAGAGACACGCCCAAGCAGAAGCAGCUAGAGCCAAAGAAGUAGCCCAGCUACGAAAAGAAUCUCGCAAAAAUGCCAACUUAAUAAGGAACUUAGAAGCGGAGACCAAACUAAAAGAACAGGUGUUAAAAAGGAAACAAGAAGAGGUUUCGCUUCUCCGUCGCGGGCACAGGGAUAAACUCAGCAGUAGGGCAGCUGGACGACUGCAUGAUCGCAAUCGUGGCAGAGCCCGUAUGACAGGCCGUGAAGUGUGGUCGCGUUUGGAAUGUUGGUUAUCCCGCGCAUGCGCAGCUCGUACUACGUUAGCAGAGUUGGAAGUGACCCUGGAACACCAGUUGAAACAGAGAGACACCGUUGGAGCCUCACAGGUCAACGACCCGGACUCGAAGGCUUUACUCGCCUACCUAAGAGGAGCUAUUGCGGAAACACAGUCGCAAAUAAUGCAGAUUGAGGAAGAGAACGAAGAAAACGAGCUCCCUCGAGUACUGGAACAGAUAGAGUGUGAGGCGGCGAGAUACGCGUUAGAGAGAUUGGCGGCUGUGGCUUUACAGCACGCCCAUGAAUCGGCAAGAAAUAGCAAGACUCUUCUCGACACUCGGGCUAGACUUGCUGAGGUGGAAGAGAAAUGUGAACAAACAGCCAGUGCAUUGCGGGCCGCUGACGAAAAUAACUUGAAUCCGUGGAACAAUUCGCAGGCUUUUGCUGCUUUGUUAGCUCAUGUCUCCUCUGGUACUUCUACAAGAUCUGUCUCACCUGUUGACAGCUCGCUAUUAGACACUCGCCCUCCAGUGCUCGGUGUGAGAGAAACAAACACUGCGCCUGCGUCUCCGCCUGAUGAUAAUUCACCAUUCCAAAGAAACACUGUACGUCGUGGGUCCGUUCGUCUGCGGGACUUAGGAGUAUACAGUCGUGAUGAGAACGUAGACCCGAUGACCCAGUCUUUAGUGGAGCCGACGUCUCCAAAACCAGUGCCUCUCAGCAGAGUUCCCAGUGCGCCUGGUAGCCUCAGGGGACUACAACCAAUCAACUCACAGUUGUCAUCUCCAGUAGCCAAUCGCCGAGCGCCACCCGAAAGCCCCCGACCAAUCAGAAGACAGCACUCACUAGCGAAACCAGCUUCUUUAGAUGCGAGUGGAGCGUCUGAGAAUACUCCACCAGCGUCUCCAAGUGCAGCAAGACGGGCGCGAGAUGAAGACGUAUUCCAAAGACUUGCUGGAGUCGCCUCUGAACAGGCUCCUACUGGAACCGUAAAAGUUCUCUCUCUUAAGCAACGCCUAAGCACAUGUGCAAUGGGGGGUGGCACAUGGCUGCAAUGUACGCACGUGGCGGAGGGCCACGUUGGGGCCGUCUCAGCUCUAGCAGCAGUGCCCAAUGCUUUAUAUAGUGGAGGUGUGGAUCGCACAGUCCGCGGUUGGGAUUUGAACGUGGGUCGGGAGGCGUGGCGAGCGUGGUGUGGGUUCGGGGUCAACGCCCUCAGCGCGGGUCAGGGCGUGACCGGGCAUGACUCUAGGGUGGUUAUCGCGGCAGCGGGAUGCGCUGUCCGACUUUUUGAUACCAGGAGCAACGCACCAGUGGCUACUCUAUGGUCUUCUGGCGCAGCGGGUGCAAACCAAGCACUGACUCGCAGCGUCGAAUCCAGUAUCACAGCGAUUGCGUUGACUGAACCACAAAUACUCUACACGGCUGCGGGAGACAAAUUACGUGUUUGGGAUUUACGAAUGCUGGAAUGCGUGUACAAGACAUGGUCAGGCCACACAGCCCCCGUAAUGUGUAUGGUUCGAAUGUCUUUGCCUCAAUGCGAUCGUCUCGCUACGGGCUCUAAAGAUCACUGCGUACGCGUCUUUGAUUGGACACAUGUUAAUGGUGUAUGGGAAGCGAGCAACCGUCGUCUCCUGGAACCGCCCCACUACGAUGGCGUACAGGCUCUGGUGCUGCGAAACAGCUCCAGUGGAGGGGAACUGCUGUACAGCGCUUCGAGGGACUCCAGUCUUAAGUGCUGGAGGCUCUCUGAUAACACGCUGGCACAUAGUGUAAUGAACGCUCACAAAGGCUGGGUGACCGGCAUUUGCGGAGUGGGGGGACUCCACAACACUGGUGGGUGGAUCGCGAGUUGUGGGCGCGACCAGGCCUUGCGUUUGUGGAGUCCCUCGCUCAAACCAGCAGCGCCACCUGCCCCCUUGCCGGACUUGCCUCACGCACUCGCCGCCUGCAGUGCCACCGGAUCGCUUUAUACCGCUGGAAGCGGCGGCGAAGUGCGCGCCUGGAGAGUUCUUCUCGACCCGUGAGCGACACACACAGACACAAACACACUUUCUCACACAUACACCACACAAAAUUUUAACGCAAGGUAUUUUAAUUUUCCAAAAAUUUUAUAACACUACACAAUUCGCUCGAAUUAUUGGCCACAAUGAAUGUUAUGUAGCGGACGGGUACGCUGCUUCCGUAUACUUGCAAACAGAUGACAUUCGGAAACCACAGGACCUUCAACACCAACUCGUCGAGCAUGGAGGUGACGGAAUUCGGAUAAAGAUAUCAAUUACAGCAGUUCCUACUGAAUUUACUGUUUUGACUCGAAAUUUUUCGGGAUUUUUAUAUGACAACUUUCGACUAAAUAUGAAAUAAUUAAAAUAUCGUCUCGUCAAUUAAUCAAGUCUUAACAUUCCUUGUGUACGUAUAGAGGCUCUAAAUCAUAAGAAAUAUUUAUUUAAUAAAAACAUGUACUUUUCAUAUACAAAUUAUAGUCCAAACAUUUAAUGGCGGUAGAUCAGAAAAUCAUAUUACACUUUAAACUCUGUCACGACUUGAUUCGACUUUAAUUUGAUCUCUAUUGGCUAAGGUAGUAUAAGUUGAUUGAUUUAAUAUUUAAACCUGGCUUUAUGUACUAUGUACAUUUAGCUACAUGGGCCUCAAUAGAAAAUAAAAUUCGGGCGAAUCUUAACGCCUUCGCUUAGCGAUAACUGUGAUUAGUCCCAAAAUGAAACAUAGAUAAUAAACUCAUAGGGUGAAAAUUUGUAUUAAUAACUUUAUCUUAACAAUAUAUAUUAAUUUAUCGGGAAUGUCAGGUUUUUCGUUUGGUUGGCGUCCUUUUGUGAACGCAAACGUAGUAGUAUAUAGAUUGUCACAAUUAUAUAUAUAUAGCCAAGCUUUUGCCAAAUUUUAUGCACAAGACCUCAUUUCUUAUAUCAAUGUUUUGAACAUAUAAUUAAAUCAGUCUUAUUACACUAUUUUGACUUAACGACUUGCUGUCUCUCUCUUAUUACUGUGCCGAAAGAGACAGACUUAGUAAGACUGUUUUAGUUUUAUACCUAUGUUUUUGUAUUAGAUUUUUAACUAUGUAAUCGAUAAAUAUAAGUAGAGUUGACAAAAUGUAGUCUGUGAUGGAUCAUCAAUUAUAUUUUUAUACAUUCCUGCGCUACGGGUAGAUAUAGCGAUUUAUAGAUAUAGGUUUUAUUAAUUUUUACACUUGGAGGUGAAUUGGUAUAAAUAAAAAAAUUAUAAUAAUAAAGUAUCUAAUUCUUAGCGAUAUCUUUAGGACGUUAUUAAGUCAUCAUUUUGAAAAGCUUAUUGCCCAAGUCCGAAUAGAAUGAAAAUAUAACGUCUUUUAAUCAAUGGGACUAAAUAAAUAAAGACAAUUUAACUUUUAAGUAGAUUCGAUCCUUUUGAUUGGUUGAUUAUGAUAAUUACCAAACUUACCUAUUUUAAACAGUAUUAUUUUGUGUCUGUGUUCAUUUUUUUCUGUUUGAUUUUAGAUUAUUUUAACAGGCUAUGUUUAUUGAGUGAUUAUCUAGGUUUUAAGUUUAUGAUUUAUGUUUGUUAAGUAAGCAAUUAAGCUGGGUUUUAUCGUUAAAUGAUUUUAUCUGUGGGAAUUCUUGCAAUGCUUUUUAGCUCAAUUGAAUCUCUUCGGCAUUAAUUACUAGUCAAGUCUAGAAGGAAAUAUUUUAAAUUGUUUUAGUUGAUGAAUUUUAAGCUUAAUAAUGUAAUGGCUAAGUGCAUCAGACAAUAUAUUUUUAUCGUGUAUCUAAUCAGUGUUAUCUAUGGAAAGUAUUAAUAAUGAAAUUAUUUUAUUCGCAAUUAUACAAUG